Long non-coding RNA from Protopterus annectens (West African lungfish), 3110 nucleotides. RefSeq lists it as uncharacterized. The record is from RefSeq and is a predicted model, not a curated record. NCBI's taxonomy places the organism in Eukaryota, Metazoa, Chordata, Ceratodontiformes, Protopteridae. The transcript is spliced from 3 exons.
UGCUUGUUACAUGCAAUAAGUCAAUCAGCUCCCUACAAUUUGAGGGAUAAGAACUUUUUUUUUGUCUUCAACAUUCCUUGAGAAAGUUGUGGGGAGUGCCAGUUUGGGAAACUACUACAAUUCUUUGGCAGGAAAAACAACUCGGAAAACCUCCUAGGAAGUUUCAGAGGUGACCUGGAAGAACUAACUGGUCAAGUGAUUUGUGUAGAGUCAUGCACCCCCAAGAUCGUGCAGAGUUUGGUGCUGCCAUUGCUGCUUUCAUGUCAUUUCCCCAGAUGAACUUAUACUGCAGCGUUUUUUUUUAUCUUGUCAACACACCACAAUUCCUUUGUAUCUGAAUUUGUGGCUGGGGUGAUCACAACAGUCAUCGGAAUUUAUUCUGUGAAACCAUCAGAUGAUUAUGCAAACAGCCAGAGAUUCUGGCUUGGAGAUUGACAAAGACAAUUGUUUUGAUUACUUCCAUUACUCUGACGUCUGUAGUAUCAUUUCAAAGUUGUGGACCUUGUAUCAAUGCCUGCUGUUGCUGGACUUUUGUCAUGUUUGAUUCUACUUGUUUAAUUCUUAUUUAUGAUCUUUUAAAUUUAUAAUUGUUGUAUCUAGUCAACUUCCUUUUCAAUGUAACAUAUUUAACAGCUUUUUUAAACUUUAUUUAUUUUAAUAUAGUUUCCUAUUAAAUUACUUUUUAUUACUACACAGUGCUUUGCCUAAUAAGCACUUUGAUAAUCUUGAUUUUGAAUAUGCUGGCAGUUUGUUUUGUGAUGUCUCUGUCUGGAUAUCUAUAAUAAUUUGUUUUCUGGGAAGAGUCUUGUUUCUUAGAGUACUUUACAUGGAGAUAAUCUUGUUGUUGCUCUUGUGUGUACAAUUAGUGUUAUAGUUCUAUUUCAGUCAUUUUCUAAAGUAGAAUUAUAAUCGUAACAGCAAUAAUAAAAAGAAUAAAUAAAUGAACUUAAAAAAUCCCCAGAACUGACAGCAACUGUAACAAUACUUAUAAUUUCAUCUACAGACUGAUAAUGUACAGAAAUAGGAAUGAAAUUCGCAUUAGUCAUUUCAGACUCCUACCACAAACUCCAGUAAGGCUGGCAAUACAUAAUCCCUUCCUUGAAACACUUAACAUGAAGAAAUACUGCCUUUAAUUAAAUGCUCUAAACAUCCACAGCUUAACAAAAAAGAGAAAGCGGUAAAACAUAAGCAUGAAGUCUACUGAUAUAAGGCUCAGAGCAACACCCUAAUAAAGUUUGCUGAUGAUAUCUAUCAAAACUGUGGCCCUUUCUCAGGUUCAUAUGUAGAAUCAACCUCUGCAGGAUUGGGAGCUGCACCCUAAUAAAGCUUGCUGUUGACAUCCAUGUAAACCCUUACCCUUUUUCUGUUUCAUUCAGUUCAUAUGCAGACAACUUGAUAAGGACAGACAAUGGAAUCCCUAUUAAUAACAUCAGACUGACCAUAUCAACUAAGUAUUUAUGAACCAAUUCAAAAUGUUUUAAAUGUAUUCUGUAACUGAUUUAUUUUCGUUUCUAAGCCCCUAACACAGGUGUGUAGACAAGCUGACCAGGUCCCAGGCUCCAAUAUUAAGGUCUUACAAACCUAAACCAAGUAAGAGAAGAGCACCCACCCCCUGAAUUCUGAACUUCUGUGAAUCCUCUCCAGCAACUGUACUAGUAAACCAAAUCAGAAUCCCAGGCUCCAAUAUUAAGGUCUUACAAACCUGAACCAAGUAAGAGAAGAGCACCCAUCCCCUGAGUUCUGAACUUCUGUGAAUCCUCUCCAGCAACUGUGCUAGUAAACCAAAGCAAAGUCCCAGGCUCUAAUAUUAAGGUCUUACAAACCUGAACCAAGUAAGAGCAGAGCACCCACCCCCUGAGUUUUGAACUUCUGUGAAUCCUCUCCAGCAACUGUGCUAGUAAACCAAAGCAAAGUCCCAGGCUCCAAUAUUAAGGUCUUACAAACCUGAACCAAGUAAGAGAAGAGCACCCACCCCUGUGUUCUGAACUUCUGUGAAUCCUCUACAGCAACUGUGCUAGUAAACCAAAGCAAAUAUAUCCUAGCAUACUAGUGUGUUUUUUUUUUAGCUAUUGUACCUGGUCGGCUGAAACACAUCUCUGCGUACCCAAACCCCUCACCUCAAGCUCUCUACUUGUCCUCCUAGCUCCCUUCCUAUCUGCCCAUCCACGCUCUCUGUUAGUUCCUUAUCUCUCCACCGAAGUCACUUCUGGUUUAGCCCCUGUAUUCUUACUACUGUCUAUACUUUCUCCUCACACAAUCUACUUCAGCCACAUAGACUCUCACUCACCCAACCCUGACCCAAGAGCUCCCCCCCCUCUAUCACCCCACUUACCUUCUUAGCCUUGCUUACAGCGUAGUAUACAUUUUCCCCCCUCCCCAGUCUUGCUUCCAGCUUCUUGUAUGUUAAACCCUCCUCCAUAGCCUUGUGCAAAAUAAAAUAAGAUAAAAGGACUUAAUCAGUAAGAGAGAUAAGUCUGUCCUGCUGAAAUGCCUCUCACUGAUUGUUUUUUUAUAUCACCGUGCCUCCACCAGGAUGGAAUUACGUCACCUAGCACUUCCCUUUAUAGAUUAUCCCUUCCUGUUCUCUCGUACAACUACAUUACCCUUCCCUCCCAUGAUGCUUUGCGGAUUUGAAGAGCCACACUGAGACUGCUGCACCAUUUCUUUUAGUUUUUAAGCCCCUAACAGUUGUGUGGACAAGCUGACCAGGUAGGCUCUCAAUUUUAGGACUUUCUAAAAUUAUACAUUGCUACAUUUGGCUCUGUUUCUUAGCUUUUAACAUACAGUACAUUCACACGUACCUGGGGAGUAAACUUCAUGCUUGUACUUCCUAGCGUUUUAAUGGUAGUGCUUUUGAAAUAGUUGAUUAGGCAGUACUUUUCUAACAACUGAUUGGAGUUUAUAUUGGUCCUUACUGUUUUCUAUUGGAGUCAUUGUUAAAUUGCCCUGUGCUAUUGCUUGUUGGUCCAUUUAUUUAUGGGAUAAUCUGCAUUAAUGGCAUUGGUAUAUUAAGGGAGCAUUCCGAUUGUGAUAUUAGGCAGUUGGAAUUGUGUUUACUAGGUAAUACUGUAAAAUGUUAUACUGCCAUGUGCAUUCUAGCUAGUUGUAUA